AUCAAGUUGUUAGGAAUCUGCGCACUAGUCGCGUAAAAACAGUCGCACAAUGAAGCAUACAAAAUCCUAGCUUUUCGGAGUAAUUACAGAAUACCCAACCACUUUUCAUUGUUCUUUUCAAGACACAAGGACCGAAUGUAAUAAUUUCAAAGCGACUUAAACUGAAACUUUAAAGAUGAACUUAGUUGUAAACAUAGAUUGUUUUGUAUCAACCUCGUUGGGAACAA
Paramuricea clavata is the source of this 227-nucleotide non-coding RNA. NCBI's taxonomy places the organism in Eukaryota, Metazoa, Cnidaria, Anthozoa, Malacalcyonacea, Plexauridae. The record is from the annotation of a GenBank genome assembly.